Molecule: ribosomal RNA, 189 nt
Filed under: uncultured bacterium
Lineage: Bacteria
Description: partial 16S ribosomal RNA
Rfam family: Bacterial small subunit ribosomal RNA
Source: RNAcentral
UCGCCUGCAUGAAGUUGGAAUUGCUAGUAAUCGCGGAUCAGCAUGCCGCGGUGAAUACGUUCCCGGGCCUUGUACACACCGCCCGUCACACCAUGGGAGCCGGUAAUACCCGAAGUCAGUAGCCUAACCGCAAGGGGGGCGCUGCCGAAGGUAGGAUUGGCGACUGGGGUGAAGUCGUAACAAGGUAUC